Molecule: ribosomal RNA, 453 nt
Filed under: Scylla paramamosain (green mud crab)
Lineage: Eukaryota; Metazoa; Arthropoda; Malacostraca; Decapoda; Portunidae
Description: partial 12S small subunit ribosomal RNA
Source: RNAcentral
AAAGGUGAAAUUAGGUUAUUUUUUUAAAGGUAAUAAUUAGAGCUGAAGCAAUAAAAAAUUGGAUUUAAACUAGGAUUAGAUACCCUACUAUACCAAAAAGUAAUUUUUUAGACCUAAGUAUUUAAAGUUAUGUACUUGAAAUUUGAAUAAUUUGGCGGUGAUUUAGUCUUGUCAGAGGAACCUGUUUUUAAAUCGAUACACCACGAAAAAUCUUACUUAAGUAUGUAUACCAUCAUUAUUAGGUAAUUUUUAUAGAAUAAAUUACUAAAAAUAAUUAUUAAUAGUGUUAAAUAUAUUAGAUCAAGGUGCAGCUAAUGCUUAAGUUAAAAUGGGUUACAAUAAAAAUUUAUUUAAUACGGAAUAUUAAUUAGAAGGAGGAUUUGAUUGUAAUUAAAUUUAAUAUGUUUAGUUAGAUAUAAGCUCUAAAUCAUGUACAUAUCGCCCGUCGCUUUC